RNAcentral lists this ribosomal RNA (531 nucleotides) under Salmonella enterica. RNAcentral describes it as "partial 23S ribosomal RNA". It matches the Rfam family "Bacterial large subunit ribosomal RNA", at positions 741 to 1269 of the family's 2925-position model. Lineage: Bacteria; Pseudomonadati; Pseudomonadota; Gammaproteobacteria; Enterobacterales; Enterobacteriaceae. The record is from RNAcentral. RNAcentral also lists the same sequence under 1 other name.
CAGGUUGAAGGUUGGGUAACACUAACUGGAGGACCGAACCGACUAAUGUUGAAAAAUUAGCGGAUGACCUGUGGCUGGGGGUGAAAGGCCAAUCAAACCGGGAGAUAGCUGGUUCUCCCCGAAAGCUAUUUAGGUAGCGCCUCGUGAAUUCAUCUCCGGGGGUAGAGCACUGUUUCGGCUAGGGGGCCAUCCCGGCUUACCAACCCGAUGCAAACUGCGAAUACCGGAGAAUGUUAUCACGGGAGACACACGGCGGGUGCUAACGUCCGUCGUGAAGAGGGAAACAACCCAGACCGCCAGCUAAGGUCCCAAAGUCAUGGUUAAGUGGGAAACGAUGUGGGAAGGCCCAGACAGCCAGGAUGUUGGCUUAGAAGCAGCCAUCAUUUAAAGAAAGCGUAAUAGCUCACUGGUCGAGUCGGCCUGCGCGGAAGAUGUAACGGGGCUAAACCAUGCACCGAAGCUGCGGCAGCGACACUGUGUGUUGUUGGGUAGGGGAGCGUUCUGUAAGCCUGUGAAGGUGUGUCGUGAGGC